UAUAAUGGGUCAGCGACUUAUAUUCUGUAGCAAGGUUAACCGAAUAGGGGAGCCGAAGGGAAACCGAGUCUUAACUGGGCGUUAAGUUGCAGGGUAUAGACCCGAAACCCGGUGAUCUAGCCAUGGGCAGGUUGAAGGUUGGGUAACACUAACUGGAGGACCGAACCGACUAAUGUUGAAAAAUUAGCGGAUGACUUGUGGCUGGGGGUGAAAGGCCAAUCAAACCGGGAGAUAGCUGGUUCUCCCCGAAAGCUAUUUAGGUAGCGCCUCGUGAAUUCAUCUCCGGGGGUAGAGCACUGUUUCGGCAAGGGGGUCAUCCCGACUUACCAACCCGAUGCAAACUGCGAAUACCGGAGAAUGUUAUCACGGGAGACACACGGCGGGUGCUAACGUCCGUCGUGAAGAGGGAAACAACCCAGACCGCCAGCUAAGGUCCCAAAGUCAUGGUUAAGUGGGAAACGAUGUGGGAAGGCCCAGACAGCCAGGAUGUUGGCUUAGAAGCAGCCAUCAUUUAAAGAAAGCGUAAUAGCUCACUGGUCGAGUCGGCCUGCGCGGAAGAUGUAACGGGGCUAAACCAUGCAC
This 582-nucleotide ribosomal RNA is filed under the name Escherichia coli. Its description in RNAcentral is "partial 23S ribosomal RNA". It matches the Rfam family "Bacterial large subunit ribosomal RNA", at positions 611 to 1194 of the family's 2925-position model. Lineage: Bacteria; Pseudomonadati; Pseudomonadota; Gammaproteobacteria; Enterobacterales; Enterobacteriaceae. The record is from RNAcentral.